GAAGACCACAGGAGGACUUACAGAAAGGGCAGAGAAGAAGAGAAACAAAGUGAGGAAGAGAGAAAUUUAUCCUGGGGUCCAGAAGUUCGUGUUAACCUGUGAAAAAAAUCAAAUCCCUGGAAGUCUGCAGAGACAGAGACAAGAAGAGACGGGACGCCAGAAACUCCUCUCUCUCCCCACCUCUCUUUUCUAGCCCCCAAAUUCCUGGCCCCCUGUUCCCCAUUGUGAGGAUAAUAUGUUGUUCUUCGUUCUCCUGUUAAAGGUGACUUGGAUCCUGGCUGCAGAUGGGGGUCACCAUUGGACAUAUGAAGGUGAGAUUGGAACUCCAGAUGGACUGGCUCUCCUAUCACCCUGGGGCCCCUCACCUGGCAUGAAGACUUGUCCUAAGGAAGGAAAAAGCUUUUCCUGAGCUUUACCCACCAGCUCCUCUUUUCCUUACUACACACACACACCCUGGGGUUUACACACGUGGCUGCUAGACCCCGCUGUAAUCAUUAAAUCCCACAUCUCCUGAUUCAGCAAAAAAGCCAA
This 531-nucleotide long non-coding RNA is filed under the name Rattus norvegicus (Norway rat). RNAcentral's name for it is "long non-coding RNA NONRATT016677". Lineage: Eukaryota; Metazoa; Chordata; Mammalia; Rodentia; Muridae. The record is from RNAcentral.